Impatiens glandulifera is the source of this 274-nucleotide long non-coding RNA. RefSeq lists it as uncharacterized. The record is from RefSeq and is a predicted model, not a curated record. The transcript is spliced from 3 exons. NCBI's taxonomy places the organism in Eukaryota, Viridiplantae, Streptophyta, Magnoliopsida, Ericales, Balsaminaceae.
GAUUGCUGCUCAACUGCUUCACUAUUGACUAUUCUUGCCGACUCUGAAUCUUCCCAACCCACGCGAUAAGUUCUAUCGCAUAUGAACAUCAUUUUGAAGCACAAACUUCGAGCAAGGGAUAUGAUUGUGAAGUUUGUGAAUGUGAACAUUGGAAGGAAAUAAACAUUGCUCUACUUCUGAACUAUGGCGAAUCAGUGUACAACAAUGUUGUACAUGAGUAUGGUGGUUUUCAUUGCAAUAUCGGUCCUGCCGGCUGCAGCUGAUACUGAUUUUC